Molecule: long non-coding RNA, 562 nt
Organism: Monodelphis domestica (gray short-tailed opossum)
Lineage: Eukaryota; Metazoa; Chordata; Mammalia; Didelphimorphia; Didelphidae
Source: RefSeq, a predicted model, not a curated record
UGCUAGACUCCUUUCCGGCCUGGACCUGCGUCUCCUGGGACAGCGCAUGCGGCACAAGGUGCCUGGCGUCAUCAGUUCAGCUGGAAACUCGGAGACGGGUCUUUACCCGAGGAGUGAGAUAGAAACGAAAGUCACCAGGUCAGGCGGUCAGUGAAAAGUGCCAAGCUAGGAAGAGAGCCGGCCGGUCCCUCCUUCGCUCCCUUUGGUUUACAAUCUGUCUCCCAGCUUAAUCUGUUUAAGGGCUGCCAACUGAGAAGGUGAUGUUCUUUUAUUCAAGAUGGAUUAAGAAGGACCAGGGGGCAUGAUAAAGGCUAUUGGAUUAGAAGUGAUUAGAAGCCCGGAGUGCCGGUUGAAGUCCUACUAACUUGCCAUGACCUUGGGCCUAAUGGUGAGUGAAGGGGAUUUAGUACCCUGGCUAAAAAAACAUCAAUCAUGCCUAGUAUUCUGGAAGCAAAUGACAAGGAUGGCAGUUUUGCCCAGAAUAGCCUAUUUCAUCAGAAAUAACUGAUAAAAUUAUGCAGUCUCUGCCAUAUCACUCAAAAUAAAGAUCUAUUUAUUCCAA